GAAUCAAUACAACUUUCAACAACGGAUCUCUUGGCUCUCGCAUCGAUGAAGAACGCAGCGAAAUGCGAUAAGUAAUGUGAAUUGCAGAAUUCAGUGAAUCAUCGAAUCUUUGAACGCACCUUGCGCUCCUUGGUAUUCCGAGGAGCAUGCCUGUUUGAGUGUCAUUAA
RNAcentral lists this ribosomal RNA (168 nucleotides) under Pogonoloma macrocephalum. Its description in RNAcentral is "5.8S ribosomal RNA". It matches the Rfam family "5.8S ribosomal RNA". From Rfam's summary of the family: 5.8S ribosomal RNA (5.8S rRNA) is a component of the large subunit of the eukaryotic ribosome. The record is from RNAcentral. Lineage: Eukaryota; Fungi; Basidiomycota; Agaricomycetes; Agaricales; Pseudoclitocybaceae.